GAUGAACGCUAGCUACAGGCUUAACACAUGCAAGUCGAGGGGCAGCGGGAUUGAAGCUUGCUUCAAUUGCCGGCGACCGGCGCACGGGUGAGUAACGCGUAUCCAACCUUCCGUACACUCAGGGAUAGCCUUUCGAAAGAAAGAUUAAUACCUGAUGGUAUGAUGAGAUUGCAUGAUAUCAUCAUUAAAGAUUUAUCGGUGUACGAUGGGGAUGCGUUCCAUUAGGUAGUAGGCGGGGUAACGCCCACCUAGCCGACGAUGGAUAGGGGUUCUGAGAGGAAGGUCCCCCACAUUGGAACUGAGACACGGUCCAAACUCCUACGGGAGGCAGCAGUGAGGAAUAUUGGUCAAUGGACGAGAGUCUGAACCAGCCAAGUAGCGUGAAGGAUGAAGGUCCUACGGAUUGUAAACUUCUUUUAAAGGGAAUAAACCCUCCACGUGUGGGAGCUUGUAUGUACCUUAUGAAUAAGCAUCGGCUAACUCCGUGCCAGCAGCCG
This 497-nucleotide ribosomal RNA is filed under the name uncultured bacterium. Its description in RNAcentral is "bacterial SSU rRNA". It matches the Rfam family "Bacterial small subunit ribosomal RNA", at positions 28 to 517 of the family's 1533-position model. The record is from RNAcentral.